UACGGAGGGUGCAAGCGUUAAUCGGAAUUACUGGGCGUAAAGCGCACGCAGGUGGCUGAGUCAGUCGAUUGUGAAAGCCCUGGGCUUAACCUGGGAAUUGCAGUCGAUACUACUCAGCUAGAGUAUGGGAGAGGGUAGUGGAAUUCCCGGUGUAGCGGUGAAAUGCGCAGAUAUCGGGAGGAACACCUAUGGCGAAGGCAGCUCGCUGGGACGUUACUGACGCUGAGACGCGAAAGCGUGGGGAGCAAACAGG
This 253-nucleotide ribosomal RNA is filed under the name uncultured bacterium. RNAcentral's name for it is "partial 16S ribosomal RNA". It matches the Rfam family "Bacterial small subunit ribosomal RNA", at positions 524 to 776 of the family's 1533-position model. The record is from RNAcentral.